UUAAGCGACUAAGCGUACACGGUGGAUGCCCUGGCAGUCAGAGGCGAUGAAGGACGUGCUAAUCUGCGAUAAGCGUCGGUAAGGUGAUAUGAACCGUUAUAACCGGCGAUUUCCGAAUGGGGAAACCCAGUGUGAUUCGUCACACUAUCAUUAACUGAAUCCAUAGGUUAAUGAGGCGAACCGGGGGAACUGAAACAUCUAAGUACCCCGAGGAAAAGAAAUCAACCGAGAUUCCCCCAGUAGCGGCGAGCGAACGGGGAGCAGCCCAGAGCCUGAAUCAGUAUGUGUGUUAGUGGAAGCGUCUGGAAAGGCGCGCGAUACAGGGUGACAGCCCCGUACACAAAAAUGCACAUGCUGUGAGCUCGAUGAGUAGGGCGGGACACGUGGUAUCCUGUCUGAAUAUGGGGGGACCAUCCUCCAAGGCUAAAUACUCCUGACUGACCGAUAGUGAACCAGUACCGUGAGGGAAAGGCGAAAAGAACCCCGGCGAGGGGAGUGAAAAAGAACCUGAAACCGUGUACGUACAAGCAGUGGGAGCACGCUUAGGCGUGUGACUGCGUACCUUUUGUAUAAUGGGUCAGCGACUUAUAUUCUGUAGCAAGGUUAACCGAAUAGGGGAGCCGAAGGGAAACCGAGUCUUAACUGGGCGUUAAGUUGCAGGGUAUAGACCCGAAACCCGGUGAUCUAGCCAUGGGCAGGUUGAAGGUUGGGUAACACUAACUGGAGGACCGAACCGACUAAUGUUGAAAAAUUAGCGGAUGACUUGUGGCUGGGGGUGAAAGGCCAAUCAAACCGGGAGAUAGCUGGUUCUCCCCGAAAGCUAUUUAGGUAGCGCCUCGUGAAUUCAUCUCCGGGGGUAGAGCACUGUUUCGGCAAGGGGGUCAUCCCGACUUACCAACCCGAUGCAAACUGCGAAUACCGGAGAAUGUUAUCACGGGAGACACACGGCGGGUGCUAACGUCCGUCGUGAAGAGGGAAACAACCCAGACCGCCAGCUAAGGUCCCAAAGUCAUGGUUAAGUGGGAAACGAUGUGGGAAGGCCCAGACAGCCAGGAUGUUGGCUUAGAAGCAGCCAUCAUUUAAAGAAAGCGUAAUAGCUCACUGGUCGAGUCGGCCUGCGCGGAAGAUGUAACGGGGCUAAACCAUGCACCGAAGCUGCGGCAGCGACGCUUAUGCGUUGUUGGGUAGGGGAGCGUUCUGUAAGCCUGCGAAGGUGUGCUGUGAGGCAUGCUGGAGGUAUCAGAAGUGCGAAUGCUGACAUAAGUAACGAUAAAGCGGGUGAAAAGCCCGCUCGCCGGAAGACCAAGGGUUCCUGUCCAACGUUAAUCGGGGCAGGGUGAGUCGACCCCUAAGGCGAGGCCGAAAGGCGUAGUCGAUGGGAAACAGGUUAAUAUUCCUGUACUUGGUGUUACUGCGAAGGGGGGACGGAGAAGGCUAUGUUGGCCGGGCGACGGUUGUCCCGGUUUAAGCGUGUAGGCUGGUUUUCCAGGCAAAUCCGGAAAAUCAAGGCUGAGGCGUGAUGACGAGGCACUACGGUGCUGAAGCAACAAAUGCCCUGCUUCCAGGAAAAGCCUCUAAGCAUCAGGUAACAUCAAAUCGUACCCCAAACCGACACAGGUGGUCAGGUAGAGAAUACCAAGGCGCUUGAGAGAACUCGGGUGAAGGAACUAGGCAAAAUGGUGCCGUAACUUCGGGAGAAGGCACGCUGAUAUGUAGGUGAAGCGACUUGCUCGUGGAGCUGAAAUCAGUCGAAGAUACCAGCUGGCUGCAACUGUUUAUUAAAAACACAGCACUGUGCAAACACGAAAGUGGACGUAUACGGUGUGACGCCUGCCCGGUGCCGGAAGGUUAAUUGAUGGGGUCAGCGCAAGCGAAGCUCUUGAUCGAAGCCCCGGUAAACGGCGGCCGUAACUAUAACGGUCCUAAGGUAGCGAAAUUCCUUGUCGGGUAAGUUCCGACCUGCACGAAUGGCGUAAUGAUGGCCAGGCUGUCUCCACCCGAGACUCAGUGAAAUUGAACUCGCUGUGAAGAUGCAGUGUACCCGCGGCAAGACGGAAAGACCCCGUGAACCUUUACUAUAGCUUGACACUGAACAUUGAGCCUUGAUGUGUAGGAUAGGUGGGAGGCUUUGAAGUGUGGACGCCAGUCUGCAUGGAGCCGACCUUGAAAUACCACCCUUUAAUGUUUGAUGUUCUAACGUUGACCCGUGAUCCGGGUUGCGGACAGUGUCUGGUGGGUAGUUUGACUGGGGCGGUCUCCUCCUAAAGAGUAACGGAGGAGCACGAAGGUUGGCUAAUCCUGGUCGGACAUCAGGAGGUUAGUGCAAUGGCAUAAGCCAGCUUGACUGCGAGCGUGACGGCGCGAGCAGGUGCGAAAGCAGGUCAUAGUGAUCCGGUGGUUCUGAAUGGAAGGGCCAUCGCUCAACGGAUAAAAGGUACUCCGGGGAUAACAGGCUGAUACCGCCCAAGAGUUCAUAUCGACGGCGGUGUUUGGCACCUCGAUGUCGGCUCAUCACAUCCUGGGGCUGAAGUAGGUCCCAAGGGUAUGGCUGUUCGCCAUUUAAAGUGGUACGCGAGCUGGGUUUAGAACGUCGUGAGACAGUUCGGUCCCUAUCUGCCGUGGGCGCUGGAGAACUGAGGGGGGCUGCUCCUAGUACGAGAGGACCGGAGUGGACGCAUCACUGGUGUUCGGGUUGUCAUGCCAAUGGCACUGCCCGGUAGCUAAAUGCGGAAGAGAUAAGUGCUGAAAGCAUCUAAGCACGAAACUUGCCCCGAGAUGAGUUCUCCCUGACUCCUUGAGAGUCCUGAAGGAACGUUGAAGACGACGACGUUGAUAGGCCGGGUGUGUAAGCGCAGCGAUGCGUUGAGCUAACCGGUACUAAUGAACCGUGAGGCUUAACCUU
Molecule: ribosomal RNA, 2902 nt
Filed under: Escherichia coli O104:H4 str. 11-03439
Lineage: Bacteria; Pseudomonadati; Pseudomonadota; Gammaproteobacteria; Enterobacterales; Enterobacteriaceae
Description: bacterial LSU rRNA
Rfam family: Bacterial large subunit ribosomal RNA
Source: RNAcentral